This 849-nucleotide ribosomal RNA is filed under the name uncultured Bacillota bacterium. RNAcentral's name for it is "bacterial SSU rRNA". It matches the Rfam family "Bacterial small subunit ribosomal RNA", at positions 68 to 902 of the family's 1533-position model. Lineage: Bacteria; Bacillati; Bacillota. The record is from RNAcentral.
UACUUUGCUUGUAGCAAUACAAGUAAAGUGCAGCGGCAGACGGGUGAGUAACACGUAGAUAACUUACCUCUUAGAGGGGGAUAGCCCGCCGAAAGGCGGGGUAAUACCGCGUAAGAUCAGGGGCUGGCAUCAGUUCCUGAUGAAACAUCCGCAAGGAUGGCUGAGAGAAAGAUCUGCGGCCUAUCAGCUAGUUGGUGAGGUAACGGCUCACCAAGGCAACAACGGGUAUCCGGCCUGAAAGGGUGAUCGGACACACUGACACUGAGACACGGGUCAGACUCCUACGGGAGGCAGCAGUGAGGAAUUUUGGACAAUGGGGGAAACCCUGAUCCAGCGACGCCGCGUGAAGGAUGAAGGUCUUCGGAUUGUAAACUUCUUUUAUCUGGGAUUAAGAAACUUAUAGAAAUAUAGGGAGUGAAUGUACCAGGUGAAUAAGCCACGGCUAACUUCGUGCCAGCAGCCGCGGUAAUACGAAGGUGGCAAGCGUUACUCGGAAUUACUAGGCGUAAAGGGCAGGUAGGUGGUUUGAUAAGUCUGUUGUGAAAGCUCCCGGCUUAACUGGGAGAGGUCAACGGAAACUAUCAGGCUUGAGUAUGGGAGAGGGUACUGGAAUUCCCGGUGUAGCGGUGAAAUGCGCAGAGAUCGGGAGGAACACCAAUGGCGAAAGCAGGUACCUGGACCAUUACUGACACUCAACUGCGAAAGCUAGGGGAGCAAACAGGAUUAGAUACCCUGGUAGUCCUAGCCGUAAACGAUGCACAUUAGACGUGAGGGGUAUCGACCCCCUUCGUGUCGACGCAAACGCAUUAAAUGUGCCGCCUGGGGAGUACGGCCGCAAGGUUGAAACUC